This 425-nucleotide ribosomal RNA is filed under the name uncultured bacterium. Its description in RNAcentral is "partial 16S ribosomal RNA". It matches the Rfam family "Bacterial small subunit ribosomal RNA", at positions 354 to 796 of the family's 1533-position model. The record is from RNAcentral.
GUGGGGAAUAUUGGACAAUGGGCGAAAGCCUGAUCCAGCAAUGCCACGUGAGUGAAGAAGGCCUUCGGGUUGUAAAGCUCUUUUACCCGGGAAGAUAAUGACUGUACCGGGAGAAUAAGCCCCGGCUAACUCCGUGCCAGCAGCCGCGGUAAUACGGAGGGGGCUAGCGUUGUUCGGAAUUACUGGGCGUAAAGCGCACGUAGGCGGUCUUUUAAGUCAGAGGUGAGAGCGCGGGGCUCAACUCCGGGAUUGCCUUUGAGACUGGGAGACUUGAACACGGGAGAGGUGAGUGGAAUUCCGAGUGUAGAGGUGAAAUUCGUAGAUAUUCGGAGGAACACCAGUGGCGAAGGCGGCUCACUGGACCGUUGUUGACGCUGAGGUGCGAAAGCGUGGGGAGCAAACAGGAUUAGAAACCCUUGUAGUCC